UAAUACGGAGGGGGCUAGCGUUAUUCGGAAUUAUUGGGCGUAAAGGGCGUGUAGGCGGCUUCGUGUGUCCCAUGUGAAAGCCCUCGGCUCAACCGGGGAACUGCAUGGGAAACUGCGGAGCUUGAGUCCGGGAGAGGAGAGCGGAAUUCCCAGUGUAGCGGUGAAAUGCGUAGAUAUUGGGAGGAACACC
RNAcentral lists this ribosomal RNA (190 nucleotides) under uncultured bacterium. Its description in RNAcentral is "partial 16S ribosomal RNA". It matches the Rfam family "Bacterial small subunit ribosomal RNA", at positions 521 to 710 of the family's 1533-position model. The record is from RNAcentral.